UUUGAGAUCUGUCUCUUCUGGGGCUCGGAUCUCCAGAAAGAUUUCUGUCCUUAGGCUGAGUGGGAUUUGGGAUGGCUUUGCAAAGCUGUAUGGAAUGGAGGGAGGCAGAGUGCAAGCAGAUGCUGGCCUGGAGUCUGUUAUUGAGACUGCCAAUUGUUCUGAAUUGUUUCUGUGGCAAAUUAGUGAAAAGGAGAAACGGCUAUUAGGGGAAUAAACUGAGAUCGUCACGCUCAUUAUUGGAGCAACUAAACCCAGGCACAAACUGAGUUCUCUGGAGUUGAAAGGUUAUAUCAUCAUUACCAUCUUAGCUGAGAGUUCAGAAUUUUCUCCUUCUUCAUUUCCACCACAUCGAAUUGCUCUCUUCCAUCAAGAUGCAGCUCAAGAACCACUUACAAUAUAUGAAACUUCCUGAGCACCCAAUUGUUAGGGCUAUCCAUCCCAAACUAUCUUGUAUUUAUUUUGCAUGUGUUUUAACACAUGUGCGUAUAUGUUCCCAUAUGCAUAUUGCCUUCCCUGAUGGAAUGUUUAAGAUUAUGGAUUGUCUCCUUUGUAUAGUUGUUAACUAUCAUCAGGUUUAGCACAGUGGCUGGCACAGUGUAGGUGCUUAAUAAAUACUCGUUGAUCAAUUUAUUGACUGAA
Long non-coding RNA from Phascolarctos cinereus (koala), 639 nucleotides. RefSeq lists it as uncharacterized. The record is from RefSeq and is a predicted model, not a curated record. Lineage: Eukaryota; Metazoa; Chordata; Mammalia; Diprotodontia; Phascolarctidae.